GACAGAGGGGGCAAGCGUUAUUCGGAUUUACUGGGCGUAAAGGGCGCGCAGGCGGCUUGGUAAGUCUGGUGUGAAAACGCUACCGCUUAACGGAGCGAUUGCGCUGGAAACUGCCAAACUUGAGUUCGUGAGAGGUCGGUGGAAUACCUGGUGUAGCGGUGGAAUGCUUAGAUAUCAGGUAGAAUACCCGAGGCGAAGGCGACCGACUGGCACGACACUGACGCUGAGGCGCGAAAGCGUGGGGAGCGAACAGG
RNAcentral lists this unclassified non-coding RNA (254 nucleotides) under uncultured bacterium. RNAcentral's name for it is "contains 16S-23S intergenic spacer region". It matches the Rfam family "Bacterial small subunit ribosomal RNA", at positions 524 to 776 of the family's 1533-position model. The record is from RNAcentral.